CGAGGGGAAGCUGGUCACGGAUGAAGUAGGAGGAGGGAAGGGAUGGAGACUACAUGUCCCGACAUGCUUCUCGCUGAGGAUGGAGAACCAAUCCCAGCAUGCAGCGGGGCUGAGCGUUUUUGCUCUCCCUGCUGGAGGGGGACCGAGCAAAUAAGUCCCUAGAAACCGCAGGAUCUAACUCCUAGACCUACAAGCAUCUACUGAGCGCGGUCACACGCCGUGCCCGGUGCUGAAAGGCAAAAACGGAGCACUUUUUCUCCCUCAGGGGGCUUGAAUUAUAAUGAAAAAGAGAGCGUGAAGGGGGAAGCCCCACCCGUAGGCUCCCCUUAGGGAAUGUAAGCGAAGUAAAACAAGACAAAGUUUAUUUAAAAAAAAAUUAAAGCCCUUCCACGUUCAGUCGUUGCAAAAAGACCCUCACCCUAUCUUUGACCCGGACAAUUUGGAAGUAAACAAGCCCUCGCUAAGACCUACUUAAUCUGCCCCGCGCUGGGCAAAGCACCGCCCUGGAAUAUGGCUGCUGCCCUACCACGCUCCUGGUACAGCUGAGCAAAGCGGCGAAGCCUUCCGAGAGUCCCGCUGGGGUGCAUUUGAACUCCGAUCUUCCUGUCUCUAGCCUGCCACCCAGCGGCAGGCGAUUUCUGGGGCGGAGCUGGCGCAGAAGAGGCGGGCGGAGCCGGGCUUAGCGGCUCGGAGAUAACGGACGUGCGGCGGAGGAGGGCAGGAAAAAAGAGGGCUCGGGACGCUUCGCUUGGGCAUUGGCAAGAAAUGAGCGGAGGGUACUUAAAAGCGUCCGUUAGCCGGGUAGGUGCAGAGAUGAGUGCCAGGCGUGCCAAGGAGGGGACGAGGUUUCACCGUCAUGCUGCAGAGAAUCAGGAAUGAGGCGCAGAAGUUUGGCAAUUUGGAAACAGCCGUUUGGGCGAUUAAGGUAGCAGCCAUAGGAAUCUUGUUUUCCUUCAAAAUCUAACUCAAGGGUUACCUCUUCCAUGAAGUCUUCCUGAGCAAGAGCAAGAGCAUUUCAGAUGUGGCAGAGAGUCAGUGCUAGCGCAUGGAGACAAGAGGGAGAAUGUUGUGUGGAAGCAACUCCAAAGAGUCAAAGGAAGCUGGAUUGGAGAAUGCAGAAGAGUAAAAUGUAUCAGGAGACCGGUUUUGUAUCUUUAGGAAAAUCACUUUGGCAGCUAUGAGCAGAAUGGAUCUAAAGAGAGAUUUGAGGCAAGAAGACUAAUAAGGCUAUCAAAACAGUCAAGGCAAAAAAAGAAAAAAAAAUUAGAGGAAGUAAAAGGUGAUAAGGGAUUGAACAAAGGUGGUAGCUCUGAAUGGAGAGAAGAGGCAUUUCUGAGAGAGAUGAAGAAGUGGAACAAAAAGAGGAUCCAAAAAGCCUUUUGUACCUAAGGCUGUUCAGCCCUUUUCCAUGCCCUAAAAAAAGAAGGCAGCAGGAAUCAACUGCAAAGGAUUAAAUCAUUUGAACCCUAAAAACCCCUUGAAGAACACGAAGGAGGGCAGGGAAGGGGUGGCUAGUUGCCAGCAUGUGGAUAAACCCAGGACCUUAAGAUGGGGAGUUAGGUACCAUGUAAUCACUUCACUGUGUGGAUGACAAAGGGAAAUGACUUGCUCAAAAAAAAAAAAAAAAACAAACCUACUA
Molecule: long non-coding RNA, 1639 nt
Organism: Sarcophilus harrisii (Tasmanian devil)
Lineage: Eukaryota; Metazoa; Chordata; Mammalia; Dasyuromorphia; Dasyuridae
Exons: 3
Source: RefSeq, a predicted model, not a curated record